Molecule: ribosomal RNA, 245 nt
Filed under: Erimyzon sucetta (lake chubsucker)
Lineage: Eukaryota; Metazoa; Chordata; Actinopteri; Cypriniformes; Catostomidae
Description: partial 12S ribosomal RNA
Rfam family: Bacterial small subunit ribosomal RNA
Source: RNAcentral
AGAGGCCCUAGUUGAUAGACACGGCGUAAAGGGUGGUUAAGGGAGAAUGAAAAUAAAGCCGAAGGGCCCUUUGGCCGUUAUACGCUUCCAGGAGUCCGAAGCCCAAGCACGAAAGUAGCUUUAAUUUAGUCCACCUGACCCCACGAAAGCUGAGGAACAAACUGGGAUUAGAUACCCCACUAUGCUCAGCCAUAAACCUAAAUAUUAUAUUACAAUAAAUAUUCGCCAGGGUACUACGAGCGUCA